GAUUAAGCCAUGCAUGUGUAAGUAUAAAUAGUUAACUUUGAAACUACGAAUGGCUCAUUAUAUCAGUUAUAGUUUAUUUGAUGAAAAAUACUAAUUGGAUAACCGUAGUAAUUCUAGAGCUAAUACAUGUAUAAAGUCUUGUAGACUGCAUUUAUUAGAAUGAAAACCAUAGGUUUCGGCCUAUUCGUGAGUAAUAAUAACUAAUCAUAUCGUAUGCUUAUGUAACGAUGUGUCUUUCAAGUUUCUGCCCUAUCAGCUUUCGAUGGUAGUGUAUUGGACUACCAUG
RNAcentral lists this ribosomal RNA (286 nucleotides) under Blastocystis hominis. RNAcentral describes it as "partial 18S ribosomal RNA". It matches the Rfam family "Eukaryotic small subunit ribosomal RNA", at positions 42 to 348 of the family's 1831-position model. The record is from RNAcentral. RNAcentral also lists the same sequence under 1 other name. Lineage: Eukaryota; Bigyra; Opalinata; Blastocystidae.